RNAcentral lists this ribosomal RNA (396 nucleotides) under Triticum aestivum (bread wheat). RNAcentral's name for it is "partial small subunit ribosomal RNA". Lineage: Eukaryota; Viridiplantae; Streptophyta; Magnoliopsida; Poales; Poaceae. The record is from RNAcentral.
AUGCCUACUACUUGUUGUGAUGAUUAUGAUUGGGAAGAUAAUGAUACUUCUUAUAAUAUUGGGAAUAUUUUUGGCACCAACUUGGGAAAUUAUCAUGAUAGUAAUUGUUAUACCAUUGGUGCCAUUCAUACUAUUAAUGAUGAGAAUGAUUAUGCUUAUGAUAUGCCAAGCCACAAGCUUGGGGAUGCUAUGUUUGAUGAGAAUGACAUGUUUGAGAAUUUAUUUGCUGAAAUUAAUGUUUGUCCCAAGCUUGGGGAUGCUAUGUUUAAUGAAGAUGAUCAUUUUAGUCCCCCUACUUUGAAUGAUCAAACUUUCUAUGAUGGUUGCAUGCCUCUGUCUAUGAUGAGAACAAAGUUGCUACUUAUGAUGAUUAUUGUGAUGAUACUUAUGUUAUAA